CCUACGGGGGGCAGCAGUGGGGAAUAUUGGACAAUGGGCGAAAGCCUGAUCCAGCCAUGCCGCGUGUGUGAAGAAGGCCUUCGGGUUGUAAAGCACUUUCAGUGGGGAAGAAAGUCUUGGGGCUAAUACCCUCGAGGAAGGACAUCACCCACAGAAGAAGCACCGGCUAACUCCGUGCCAGCAGCCGCGGUAAUACGGAGGGUGCGAGCGUUAAUCGGAAUUACUGGGCGUAAAGCGCGCGUAGGCGGUCUGAUAAGCCGGUUGUGAAAGCCCCGGGCUCAACCUGGGAACGGCAUCCGGAACUGUCAGGCUAGAGUGCAGGAGAGGAAGGUAGAAUUCCCGGUGUAGCGGUGAAAUGCGUAGAGAUCGGGAGGAAUACCAGUGGCGAAGGCGGCCUUCUGGACUGACACUGACGCUGAGGUGCGAAAGCGUGGGUAGCAAACAGGAUUAGAUACCCGGGUAGUC
RNAcentral lists this ribosomal RNA (465 nucleotides) under Vreelandella stevensii. RNAcentral describes it as "partial 16S ribosomal RNA". It matches the Rfam family "Bacterial small subunit ribosomal RNA", at positions 338 to 795 of the family's 1533-position model. Lineage: Bacteria; Pseudomonadati; Pseudomonadota; Gammaproteobacteria; Oceanospirillales; Halomonadaceae. The record is from RNAcentral.